Molecule: ribosomal RNA, 440 nt
Filed under: uncultured bacterium
Lineage: Bacteria
Description: partial 16S ribosomal RNA
Rfam family: Bacterial small subunit ribosomal RNA
Source: RNAcentral
CCUACGGGUGGCAGCAGUAGGGAAUAUUGCUCAAUGGGGGAAACUCUGAAGCAGCAACGCCGCGUGGAGGAUGAAGGUUUUAGGAUUGUAAACUCCUUUUGUGAGAGAAGAUAAUGACGGUAUCUCACGAAUAAGCACCGGCUAAAUCCGUGCCAGCAGCCACGGGACUACGGAGGGUGCAAGCGUUACUCGGAAUCACUGUGCGUAAAGCGUGCGCCGGCGGGCUUUUAAGUCAGAUGUGAAAUCCUGUAGCUUAACUACAGAACUGCAUUUGAAACUAUGAGUCUAGAGUGUGGGAGAGGUAGGUGGAAGUCUUGGUGUAGGGGUAAAAACCGUAGAUAUCAAGAGGAAUACUCAUUGCGAAGGCGACCUAAUGGAACAUUACUGACGCUCAUGCACGAAAGCGUGGGGAGCAAACAGGAUUAGAUAACCUUGUAGUC